GGGUUAGGUAAAUGUUCCAUGAUAAUGGAUUAGGUAAAUAUUCCAUGAUAAUGGGUUAGGUAAAUGUUUCAUGAUAAUGGGUUAGGUAAAUGUUUCAUGAUAAGAAUUUCAUGUCUUUUGUAUUAAAGAAUUAAAUGGAUGAAAUAUGAAGUUUUAUUAAAAGAAAAAUGGGGUGAAAAGAACAAAGUUUUGUCCAUCUUUGUUCAUCAUAGCUAAAAGUUAGAGAAGAGAAAGGAGAGGAGAAAGCUCUUGAGUAUUUGGUCAUUAGGAGGAGGAAAAUUGAAGGCGGUUCGUGUGUGGAUCUCGUCGACAUAUCGUGGCAAGCAGUGUGUAACUAACACCCUCUUUCUUAGUCUGGAUCGGCAAAAGUCGAAAAGUCGAAAUGCCGAAAACCGAUAUUUUGUAGAUUUGCGAGUGUGCGAAUGCUCGUGAGGAAAUCCCCAACCAUAGUGGGCUUGGAGCUGUGAGGGAAUUCGGAGUGGCCACCUGUUCUGAAAGUUUGAUUUUCUUCUGGUGAACUGGACAUCCUUUUAAUUACGUUUGAGGUUUUGGGCUUUUAAAUGUAAUAAGGCCGCUUAUUUAUUAUUGGUGGUUUUUAAUAUGUAUUACUAAGAUAGGUAAUACUUAUUUUAACUGUUGAAAUUGGAUAGCUUUAGGGCGCGUUUUCAAAAACAA
Gossypium arboreum is the source of this 675-nucleotide long non-coding RNA. RefSeq lists it as uncharacterized. The record is from RefSeq and is a predicted model, not a curated record. The transcript is spliced from 3 exons. NCBI's taxonomy places the organism in Eukaryota, Viridiplantae, Streptophyta, Magnoliopsida, Malvales, Malvaceae.